This is an RNA transcript of Bombyx mori (domestic silkworm), 2052 nucleotides long. RefSeq lists it as uncharacterized. The record is from RefSeq and is a predicted model, not a curated record. The transcript has 5 exons. NCBI's taxonomy places the organism in Eukaryota, Metazoa, Arthropoda, Insecta, Lepidoptera, Bombycidae.
ACAUUCCCGAUCCUGCGGACAGAUUGGAAAGCAGUCGACGUCGCCCAAAACACGUCAUUACGGAUCCUCCCGAUCCACUGACGGUGCUAUUAGCGCUUUUAGCACCGGUCAUCGUCCUCGUCGAACCCCUGGUUUUACCCCUGCACCAUUCCCACCCCGCGGAACCCCAUGGCUAUGAAGAUAUUCACGAUGGUUAUGAAUAUAUCCACGGUUAAUUUUUUUUAUAAAAAUUGCAUUAUUUAGUCAAACUCGAAGGGAGUUUAAGUUUGAAUCCGCCUUAUCUCCGGCGCUGCGGGAAGAGCAGCCCUUCCACCCUUGCGUGCCGAAGCACGGUCACUCGUGCUCCGCUUCGCCGAAAAUUGCGCGGACGGAGGUGUAUGAAAUUUCUCACAUUUAUAGAGAAUAUAGAGGUGGAGCUCACAAUGCUAUAUUAUUUUAAAAUAAUGCAUAAAAGAUACUUUAGAUCAAUAAAGAAAACAUUACACACACUACCAUGUAUUUGACACAACACAUACAUUAAAAUAUACUCUUUCUUUACUGUCAAUUGGAAAACUUUUGUUACUGUUUAAAAUCUGUGGUCGAAUUGAAAAUAGAUUAAUAUUGUUUAUCUUUAAAAUUAUUUAUCUAUAGUGCAGUUUUGGCGAAUACUGUGAUUAUAUUAUCGAAAUAUAAUAAUAGUGUUUGACAAUAGAACCAUAAUAAUGUUUAAACUUAUAAUUUCAAUUGAUUAUAGUCGAAUCUCGACUACUGCGCGGUCACUAGUCUACGGUAAUAUUUGAGUCGACUAUUAUCAAAGCCGGCAAUGUGACUUUUGGACAAUUAUUGGUAAAUCAGAAAAACGAAUUAUUGACUUUGUAUUCAAUUGGCAGUCACAAAACUCUUCUUAACGACAUCUUAGAUAAAUAACAGGUUAAGUAUUAACCUUUAUUUAAUGCAGGUUUUGAACCGUAUUCUUUGAAGGAGACGAUUAUAUUCAAAUCAAUCUGUAUUGACAUAUCAAUAACAUUUUUUUGUCCGAAUGCACAGAUUGCCACCUUUGAUAAUAGACGACUCAUUUACGUUAUUACCAAAUCUUCGAACAUGUCACGAUCGGCCGCGAUGACUACGCUAACCCAGAGAAACUAAAAAUAUAUCUACUUAUUAAUAAACAUAAAAAAAUAUUGUACCCGUUUUAAAUUCUAGAAUUUUUUUUAUCAUCGCACAAGCGUCACCUUUUAUUGUGGACUCCGAAUUAGUGUUAGAAUUUAUUGUCGCGAUAUUUCCUAUACCAUUAUUAAAACCGGACCAAAUUGGGACCACACAGGAAGCUUCAGCUUUCUAAUAAAAAAAAGAAUCAUCAAAAUCGAUUCACCCAGGCAUAAAGCUAUGAGAUUUUAUGAACUGGUAACUGAGGCCUUUAAGUCAUGUCUUAUUUUAAUUUAUAUUCAUAUUUUUAUGAAAAAAUGAUAUUAUGGAGUGAAAUGAAAUGAAGAUGAUUAAUUUGAGACAUUAAUCAACUGGGAUGAAACAAAUGAAAUGAAAUGAGAUGAUAUGGAAUGAAAUAUAAUCUCAGUAAAAUGGUGGUCAUUUACUAAGAUUUUUUCAGUGGACUUUUUGGAGGAUCCCGAGAAGUUACGUCCAGCGGCUUUGUUACAUUUUCCCACAUUUGUACACUUUCACAGAUAUUAAACAGUUAAUAAACCACCGUUAUUACUCAUUUAAACCUGAAGAAACACUAAAUAGACACUAAAUGACGACGCUUGCAGCUGAAAAUGACCUAUUAUUUGCGGACGAACUCAAACAAACACUCGAGAAUUAUCUUUUCGGGGAUAUGUCCACAGACUUACAAGGGCAAGCGGCGCGUCGGUAGACAGUACACGCUUUGGCAGGACGACAUUAGAAAAGUUGCUGGACCACACUGGAUUUAUGUCGCCAGAGACAAAACCAAAUGGAAAUCUUUGGAGGAGGCCUUUACCUGAGAGACCCCUCUCAUAUAUAAGCAUAUAAUAUAUUUAUAUACUAAAAAAAGAAAAGCAAAAUGUAAUUGCAUGGAAUAAAGGGCUUUUUAAUUUU